CACGUGAUCAUCCUCGCGGACAGCGCGGCUGUGCGGGCGGAGAGCUGUCGGAUAUUGAGAAUAAUUGAGACUGGAAUCUCAAAAACAAUUUUCUACAGUCAGAUGAGUCAUCAGGAUCUGAAUACCAUUGGCAUUUAACUGUGGAAGGAGAAAGGAAGGAUGUGGAAGCUUUAAAGACAGUGCAGAGGAGAUUGAACAGGAUGCUGCCUGGACUGGAGAGCAUGCCCAUAG
This is a long non-coding RNA of Hemiscyllium ocellatum (epaulette shark), 231 nucleotides long. RefSeq lists it as uncharacterized. The record is from RefSeq and is a predicted model, not a curated record. NCBI's taxonomy places the organism in Eukaryota, Metazoa, Chordata, Chondrichthyes, Orectolobiformes, Hemiscylliidae. The transcript is spliced from 3 exons.